CCAACAAAACACAAAAAUACAACAACCUAUUAAACAUUAAAAGCUUCCCUAAGCAGGGCUGCCUAAACAGGGCAUUGUAAAUAGACCAUUCAGGUAUCACACAUGGAUCAUUGGCAGCAGUUUUUAAAAAGCACUUUUUGCGUUUCUCUCAGGGUAAAUCUGGAUUGGAUUUGAAGUGGAUUGGAAUAUAGGCUGGUGUUUUGAUGGCAAGGACAUCAUGUGGGCUCUGCAAAACAAAAAACAAAACACCUUGCGUAGAUGAGUAGCACCCAUCCCACAAUAAACACCUGUCUGAAACUGCCCUUGUUCUUGUAAAAAAAAAGGAGGAAACUGCAUCAGCAGGAGAUGAAAGAGCAGAGGGGCUUAUCAAACAAGAAAAAGCCUACUGGUGCAUCAGUGCCUGGGGACAAUGAUGCAGACACAUGUCUGAAGGGCAGGGGUGGGGAGGAAACUCCUUGAAUUCUUCAGCAACCUGCCUCAUCUCUGCUUCUCCCCCCCCCCCCGCCUCCACUUCUGCCUCUGAGUCUGGACUGCUGUCUACCACAGCCUCUUCCAGCUCACUAAACCCUGUUGCCUCUUCAGCAUUCGACACCUCCUGCUCAUAGCUGUCAACUUUUCCCUUUUCUUGUGAGGAAUCCUAUUCGGAAUAAGGGAAUUUCCCUUAAAAAAAGGGGAAAGUUGACAGCUGUGCUCCUGCUCCCAGUCUGCCUACCUCCCCUCUGUCCACCCAAUGCCAUCCCACCACCAAUCCCUGGCUCUGAGCCUUCUUCUCUUGGAGGUUCCCUCGGGGGUUCCCCAACUGCCUCCCUCCAUUCCUCUGCAUCCAGCCAGUCUAUGACACUGGCAUCCCCAGGUACGACUGGGGAAGGCAUCCGUCGGAAAACCUGGAGAGCCACAGCCAUUUAGUAUAGACAGUACUGAGUCAGACGUGGAGAGCACUGUAGUAACACCCAGCUAACUCGGUGUAAGUCAGCUGCCGGUGUUCCCACUCUGUUAACAACUGCCUCCGAAAGUGUUAAGUAAGUGUUCUUUUCAAGCUCUUGUUCCGAACAGUUUAUAUAGCACACGGUACAAAUGAGCAAACAUGCUGCCCUAGAGAGGCGACAACUUAUCUGGAGGGUGUACAUAAUCAGGCAUUUCAGAAGGAAAAGAAUGCAAGUUAUUUACCAUUAAAUCUGUUGCUGCAGGGAAAGAUUUCUAAAACCCCUUUGCCAAGCAAGCUCCUUCCCCGCCCCUGGAAGGUUUCUCCAGCUUCAAAACAGCACCAGCUCAUUAAAAGGCAGGGCAGCCAGGCUUCCAUUGCAGUCUCACACUUUUUCUCUCAGAGUUUGCGGUUUUAUAUGGGUCUCCCGCAACCCCCACCCCACCCCCGCCUCCGUCCCCCAAAGCAUCCACUUGACUGCCCAGGAACCUACAGCACCAUCGGCUGAGAAAGCUGUGGCGAAGAACAAACUCCCUCGAGUUUGGAGCCCUGGAGGGCAGCCAUGUUGAAACUAUCAUUGUUUCGGCCCAUGUCUUUCAUUAAAGGCUGCCAGAUAAAUAUUUACAGCUGGUCAUGGGAGGAGGCAAGCUGGAGGGACCUCGCCACAUUUUUCUUCAUUUGACUGCUCAUCUGGCGUAGGCUUUUGCAUCUAUGCAAUAUUGCGUUGAAUUUGUCGUUGCUGUUGUCAUCUUGGUGCAUUAAGAAUUGUGAGCUUUCAUUUCAAAAUAAGCCGUAUCUGAAUCCCACUGUAUUACCAACAUGGCAACGUCUUGUAGAGGUUUUAAGGCAUAUGCCAGAACAUAGUCCUUGGUGUUUAAUGAAUCACAAAUUUCAAGGGAGCUCCUCCCUGCCUGGUUUUGAAUUGUGUUACAUCUGGUAAUCUCCCGCUACCCUGGAAAUCUGAGAUGCCCUGUGUCAGUGUGGCUUCUGGCCUUGUGGUGCUGCUAUGGAAUGCCAGGUCAGUCUGCAAUAUGUUCCUUCAUACAUCUGACAAAGUGGGCCUCAGUCCACAAAAGCUUAUUCUACAAUAAAUAAAUCUGUG
This 2024-nucleotide long non-coding RNA is filed under the name Podarcis lilfordi (Lilford's wall lizard). The record is from RNAcentral. Lineage: Eukaryota; Metazoa; Chordata; Lepidosauria; Squamata; Lacertidae.